Molecule: ribosomal RNA, 850 nt
Filed under: Pseudomonas aeruginosa
Lineage: Bacteria; Pseudomonadati; Pseudomonadota; Gammaproteobacteria; Pseudomonadales; Pseudomonadaceae
Description: bacterial SSU rRNA
Rfam family: Bacterial small subunit ribosomal RNA
Source: RNAcentral
AAGUACGACACAUAGCAGUCGAGCGGAUGAAGGGAGCUUGCUCCUGGAUUAGCGGCGGACGGGUGAGUAAUGCCUAGGAAUCUGCCUGGUAGUGGGGGAUAACGUCCGGAAACGGGCGCUAAUACCGCAUACGUCCUGAGGGAGAAAGUGGGGGAUCUUCGGACCUCACGCUAUCAGAUGAGCCUAGGUCGGAUUAGCUAGUUGGUGGGGUAAAGGCCUACCAAGGCGACGAUCCGUAACUGGUCUGAGAGGAUGAUCAGUCACACUGGAACUGAGACACGGUCCAGACUCCUACGGGAGGCAGCAGUGGGGAAUAUUGGACAAUGGGCGAAAGCCUGAUCCAGCCAUGCCGCGUGUGUGAAGAAGGUCUUCGGAUUGUAAAGCACUUUAAGUUGGGAGGAAGGGCAGUAAGUUAAUACCUUGCUGUUUUGACGUUACCAACAGAAUAAGCACCGGCUAACUUCGUGCCAGCAGCCGCGGUAAUACGAAGGGUGCAAGCGUUAAUCGGAAUUACUGGGCGUAAAGCGCGCGUAGGUGGUUCAGCAAGUUGGAUGUGAAAUCCCCGGGCUCAACCUGGGAACUGCAUCCAAAACUACUGAGCUAGAGUACGGUAGAGGGUGGUGGAAUUUCCUGUGUAGCGGUGAAAUGCGUAGAUAUAGGAAGGAACACCAGUGGCGAAGGCGACCACCUGGACUGAUACUGACACUGAGGUGCGAAAGCGUGGGGAGCAAACAGGAUUAGAUACCCUGGUAGUCCACGCCGUAAACGAUGUCGACUAGCCGUUGGGAUCCUUGAGAUCUUAGUGGCGCAGCUAACGCGAUAAGUCGACCGCCUGGGGAGUACGGCCGCA